RNAcentral lists this ribosomal RNA (497 nucleotides) under uncultured bacterium. Its description in RNAcentral is "partial 16S ribosomal RNA". It matches the Rfam family "Bacterial small subunit ribosomal RNA", at positions 28 to 507 of the family's 1533-position model. The record is from RNAcentral.
GAUGAACGCUGGCGGCGUGCCUAAUACAUGCAAGUCGAGCGAACGGACGAGAAGCUUGCUUCCCUGCUGUUAGCGGCGGACGGGUGAGUAACACGUGGAUAACCUACCUAUAAGACUGGGAUAACUUCGGGAAACCGUAGCUCCUACCGGAUAAUCUUUUGAACCGCAUGGUUCAACAGUGAAAGACGGUCUUGCUGUCACUUAUAGAUGGAUCCGCGCUGCAUUAGCUAGUUGGUAAGGUAACGGCUUACCAAGGCAACGAUGCACAGCCGACCUGAGAGGGUGGUCGGCCAAGCUGGAACUGAGACACGGUCCAGACUCCUACGGGAGGCAGCAGUAGGGAAUCUUCCGCAAUGGGCGAAAGCCUGACGGAGCAACGCCGCGUGAGUGAUGAAGGUCUUCGGAUCGUAAAACUCUGUUAUUAGGGAAGAACAUAUGUGUAAGUAACUGUGCACAUCUUGACGUUACCUAAUCAGAAAGCCACGGCUAACUACGUG